CUCAAAUAAAACUCCAGGCCCACAUGACUUCACUGGUGAAUUAUAUCAAAUAUUAAAAGAAGAAAUAACAUCACUCCCAUACAAACUUUUACAGAAAAUAGAGGAGGAAGUUACCACUUCCCAACUUAUCCUAUGAGAGUCCCCACAGCCACCCUCCAUUGCAGAGAAUUGCCCCACACAUCUGCUGCGCACCCACGCCCUGGAGAUAGAGUUAUAAUUCCCAUCUCACAGAUGAAGGAACUAAGGCAAAGAGAGGCAAACUAAACGUGUGUGCACCAGUUGGGCAAAACUUCCAACCCAAAUGGGGACAGCAAGGUCCCCAUCUACUCCCCACAUCAAACGGCAAUGCUUGCAAGAGUCCCCAAGAAGUGGGUGCUUAGAGGGAAAGAUGCCAUUCCUUUCUGGAUCUUUGGGAAACCAGCUGAAAUGCGCCUGGCUCUGGAACAUUCAUCCAAAGUCUCUGGGACCAGGCUUCACUCCCCCAACCCAAGGAAAGGCAGGAAACUCCCUCAUGGAAACCACUCUUCCUCCUACCUUAACCGACUCGGGACUCGUGACGAUGACUGAGGUUUUGUGGAAGACGUUAACCCGCACAACAGGUCCAUACUUCUUAGCCCUGGAAACCAAAGUGACCCGAAGGAAACUGUCAACCACCUGAGGUAUGACCAUCACCAACCCCGCCCAGCAGAGAAACCGAUGUGUCCCGUCCCAGAAGGUGCUCAAUGCAUGCUACCAAAAGAGUGCUGUGCUGGGGCCCAGGAGCCCUGGGGGCAAGGCUCUGCCCUGUUGCUCACUUGCCGAGUCAUGUCCCCCAGCAGGCCUCAGUUUCCACAGCCAUGGAAUAGGGUUGGAAACACUCCUUCUUUGAUUGUCCCAAAACGUUGUCCUGGGAAUCAAAUGAUUUGCAUCUUUGAAAGUACUUUGAAAAAUGUAAAAAAGUGUCACACCAAACAAUGACUGUUA
This 963-nucleotide long non-coding RNA is filed under the name Pan troglodytes (chimpanzee). RNAcentral's name for it is "long non-coding RNA NONPTRT005182". Lineage: Eukaryota; Metazoa; Chordata; Mammalia; Primates; Hominidae. The record is from RNAcentral.